RNAcentral lists this ribosomal RNA (380 nucleotides) under uncultured eukaryote. RNAcentral describes it as "partial 18S ribosomal RNA". It matches the Rfam family "Eukaryotic small subunit ribosomal RNA", at positions 592 to 976 of the family's 1831-position model. The record is from RNAcentral.
CAAUAGCGUAUAUUAAAGUUGUUGCGGUUAAAAAGCUCGUAGUUGGAUUUCUGUUGAGAACGUCCGGUCCGCACUAUGUGCGUGUAUCUGGUUCGGUCUUGGCAUCCUCUUGAGGAACGUAUCUGCGCUUGAUUGCGUGGAGCGGUAUUCAAGACUUUUACUUUGAGGAAAUUAGAGUGUUCACGGCAGGCAAGCGCCUUGAACACGUUAGCAUGGAAUAAUAAUAUAGGAUCUUGGUUCUAUUUUGUUGGUUUCUAGGGCUAAGGUAAUGAUUAAUAGGGAUAAUUGGGGGCAUUUGUAUUAACGCGUCAGAGGUGGAAUUCUUGGAUUGCGUUACGACAAACUACUGCGAAAGCAUUUGCCAAGGAUGUUUUCAUUGA